GGUCAUGAGUGCCAGCGCGAAGCCCCGGCUCGCUGGCCGGCAACCCUCCAACCGCGGUGGGGUGCCCCGGGUGAUGACCUGGCCGACACCAGCAGGUGUGGGCAAGCGCGGGUC
Molecule: non-coding RNA, 114 nt
Filed under: Angustibacter sp. Root456
Lineage: Bacteria; Bacillati; Actinomycetota; Actinomycetes; Kineosporiales; Kineosporiaceae
Also listed under: 1 other name
Description: SAM (S-adenosyl methionine) riboswitch aptamer
Rfam family: SAM (S-adenosyl methionine) riboswitch aptamer
About the family: SAM-IV is a mRNA element that regulates gene expression via direct sensing of S-adenosylmethionine (SAM or AdoMet). SAM-IV riboswitches share conserved nucleotide positions with the previously described SAM-I riboswitches sequence analysis and molecular recognition experiments suggest that SAM-I and SAM-IV riboswitches share similar ligand binding sites, but have different scaffolds.
Source: Rfam by way of RNAcentral